UCCGGUUGAUCCUGCCAGAGGUUACUGCUAUCGAGGUUCGACUAAGCCAUGCGAGUCGAAUGUAGCAAUACAUGGCGUACUGCUCAGUAACACGUGGACAACCUGCCCUUAGGUUGGGUAUAAACCCGGGAAACUGGGUAUAAUCCCCUAUAAGUCUCGGCUGCUGGAAUGCACCGAGAUUAAAAGCUCCGGCGCCUAAGGAUGGGUCUGCGGCCUAUCAGGUAGUAGUGGGUGUAGCGUACCUACUAGCCUACGACGGGUACGGGUUGUGAGAGCAAGAGCCCGGAGAUGGAUUCUGAGACACGAAUCCAGGCCCUACGGGGUGCAGCAGGCGCGAAAACUUUACAAUGCUGGCAACAGCGAUAAGGGAACCUCGAGUGCCAGGUUACAAAUCUGGCUGUCGAGAUGCCUAAAAAGCAUUUCAUAGCAAGGGCCGGGCAAGACCGGUGCCAGCCGCCGCGGUAACACCGGCGGCUCGAGUGGUAACCGUUAUUAUUGGGUCUAAAGGGUCUGUAGCCGGCCGGAUAAGUCUCUUGAGAAAUCUGGCAGCUUAACUGUCAGGCUUUCAGGAGAUACUGUCUGGCUCGAGGCCGGGAGAGGUGAGAGGUACUUCAGGGGUAAGGGGUGAAAUCUUGUAAUCCUUGAAGGACCACCAGUGGCGAAGGCGUCUCACCAGAACGGACCUGACGGCAAGGGACGAAAGCUAGGGGGCACGAACCGGAUUAGAUACCCGGGUAGUCCUAGCCGUAAACGAUACUCGCUAGGUGUCGGCCACGGUGCGACCGUUGUCGGUGCCGUAGGGAAGCCGUGAAGCGAGCCACCUGGGAAGUACGGCCGCAAGGCUGAAACUUAAAGGAAUUGGCGGGGGAGCACCACAACGGGUGGAGCUUGCGGUUUAAUUGGAUUCAACGCCGGAAAUCUUACCGGGACCGACAGCAAUAUGAAGGCCAGGCUGAAGACUUUGCCGGAUUAGCUGAGAGGUGGUGCAUGGCCGUCGUCAGUUCGUACUGUGAAGCAUCCUGUUAAGUCAGGUAACGAGCGAGACCC
RNAcentral lists this ribosomal RNA (1047 nucleotides) under unidentified archaeon. Its description in RNAcentral is "bacterial SSU rRNA". It matches the Rfam family "Archaeal small subunit ribosomal RNA", at positions 1 to 1053 of the family's 1478-position model. The record is from RNAcentral.